Molecule: ribosomal RNA, 549 nt
Filed under: uncultured delta proteobacterium
Lineage: Bacteria; Deltaproteobacteria
Description: bacterial SSU rRNA
Rfam family: Bacterial small subunit ribosomal RNA
Source: RNAcentral
CCUACGGGAAGGCAGCAGUGAGGAAUAUUGGGCAAUGGGCGAAAGCCUGACCCAGCCACGCCGCGUGUGUGAUGAAGGCCUUCGGGUCGUAAAGCACUGUGGGGAGAGACGAACAAGCGCAUCAGGAAAUGCGUGCGCCUUGACGGUACCUCCUUAGCAAGCACCGGCUAACUCUGUGCCAGCAGCCGCGGUAAUACAGAGGGUGCAAACGUUGCUCGGAUUUACUGGGCGUAAAGCGCGUGUAGGCGGACUCGCAAGUCGGUUGUGAAAUCCCUGGGCUUAACCUAGGAACUGCAUCCGAAACUGCUUGUCUUGAGUAAUGGAGAGGGUGGCGGAAUUCCCGGUGUAGAGGUGAAAUUCGUAGAUAUCGGGAGGAACAUCAGUGGCGAAGGCGGCCACCUGGACAUUUACUGACGCUGAGACGCGAAAGCGUGGGGAGCAAACAGGAUUAGAUACCCUGGUAGUCCACGCCGUAAAACGAUGAGAACUAGGUGCAGCGGAUAUUGACCUCUGCUGUGCCGUAGCUAACGCGUUAAGUCUUCCGCCUGG